This 199-nucleotide unclassified non-coding RNA is filed under the name Glomeraceae sp. RNAcentral's name for it is "partial contains 5.8S ribosomal RNA and internal transcribed spacer 2". The stretch from base 1 to 71 matches the Rfam family "5.8S ribosomal RNA", at positions 84 to 154 of the family's 154-position model. The record is from RNAcentral. Lineage: Eukaryota; Fungi; Glomeromycota; Glomeromycetes; Glomerales; Glomeraceae.
GUGAAUCAUCAAAUCUUUGAACGCAAAUUGCACUCCCUGGUAUUCCGGGGAGUAUGCCUGUUUGAGGGUCGUUAGAACAAACAUCGAAGCGUCGCUCUUUUUUUUUUAAGGGUGAUCGCGUCGGAAUUUAGCCGUCUUUCAAUUGUUAAUUCAUGUCAAGAUUGCUUGAAAUUCAACCAUCCGCUACGAUUAAAGAGUA